AGCGUACACGGUGGAUGCCCUGGCAGUCAGAGGCGAUGAAGGACGUGCUAAUCUGCGAUAAGCGUCGGUAAGGUGAUAUGAACCGUUAUAACCGGCGAUUUCCGAAUGGGGAAACCCAGUGUGUUUCGACACACUAUCAUUAACUGAAUCCAUAGGUUAAUGAGGCGAACCGGGGGAACUGAAACAUCUAAGUACCCCGAGGAAAAGAAAUCAACCGAGAUUCCCCCAGUAGCGGCGAGCGAACGGGGAGGAGCCCAGAGCCUGAAUCAGUGUGUGUGUUAGUGGAAGCGUCUGGAAAGGCGCGCGAUACAGGGUGACAGCCCCGUACACAAAAAUGCACAUGCUGUGAGCUCGAUGAGUAGGGCGGGACACGUGGUAUCCUGUCUGAAUAUGGGGGGACCAUCCUCCAAGGCUAAAUACUCCUGACUGACCGAUAGUGAACCAGUACCGUGAGGGAAAGGCGAAAAGAACCCCGGCGAGGGGAGUGAAAAAGAACCUGAAACCGUGUACGUACAAGCAGUGGGAGCACGCUUAGGCGUGUGACUGCGUACCUUUUGUAUAAUGGGUCAGCGACUUAUAUUCUGUAGCAAGGUUAACCGAAUAGGGGAGCCGAAGGGAAACCGAGUCUUAACUGGGCGUUAAGUUGCAGGGUAUAGACCCGAAACCCGGUGAUCUAGCCAUGGGCAGGUUGAAGGUUGGGUAACACUAACUGGAGGACCGAACCGACUAAUGUUGAAAAAUUAGCGGAUGACUUGUGGCUGGGGGUGAAAGGCCAAUCAAACCGGGAGAUAGCUGGUUCUCCCCGAAAGCUAUUUAGGUAGCGCCUCGUGAAUUCAUCUCCGGGGGUAGAGCACUGUUUCGGCAAGGGGGUCAUCCCGACUUACCAACCCGAUGCAAACUGCGAAUACCGGAGAAUGUUAUCACGGGAGACACACGGCGGGUGCUAACGUCCGUCGUGAAGAGGGAAACAACCCAGACCGCCAGCUAAGGUCCCAAAGUCAUGGUUAAGUGGGAAACGAUGUGGGAAGGCCCAGACAGCCAGGAUGUUGGCUUAGAAGCAGCCAUCAUUUAAAGAAAGCGUAAUAGCUCACUGGUCGAGUCGGCCUGCGCGGAAGAUGUAACGGGGCUAAACCAUGCACCGAAGCUGCGGCAGCGACGCUGAUGCGUUGUUGGGUAGGGGAGCGUUCUGUAAGCCUGUGAAGGUGUGCUGUGAGGCAUGCUGGAGGUAUCAGAAGUGCGAAUGCUGACAUAAGUAACGAUAAAGCGGGUGAAAAGCCCGCUCGCCGGAAGACCAAGGGUUCCUGUCCAACGUUAAUCGGGGCAGGGUGAGUCGACCCCUAAGGCGAGGCCGAAAGGCGUAGUCGAUGGGAAACAGGUUAAUAUUCCUGUACUUGGUGUUACUGCGAAGGGGGGACGGAGAAGGCUAUGUUGGCCGGGCGACGGUUGUCCCGGUUUAAGCGUGUAGGCUGGUUUUCCAGGCAAAUCCGGAAAAUCAAGGCUGAGGCGUGAUGACGAGGCACUACGGUGCUGAAGCAACAAAUGCCCUGCUUCCAGGAAAAGCCUCUAAGCAUCAGGUAACAUCAAAUCGUACCCCAAACCGACACAGGUGGUCAGGUAGAGAAUACCAAGGCGCUUGAGAGAACUCGGGUGAAGGAACUAGGCAAAAUGGUGCCGUAACUUCGGGAGAAGGCACGCUGAUAUGUAGGUGAAGUCCCUCGCGGAUGGAGCUGAAAUCAGUCGAAGAUACCAGCUGGCUGCAACUGUUUAUUAAAAACACAGCACUGUGCAAACACGAAAGUGGACGUAUACGGUGUGACGCCUGCCCGGUGCCGGAAGGUUAAUUGAUGGGGUCAGCGCAAGCGAAGCUCUUGAUCGAAGCCCCGGUAAACGGCGGCCGUAACUAUAACGGUCCUAAGGUAGCGAAAUUCCUUGUCGGGUAAGUUCCGACCUGCACGAAUGGCGUAAUGAUGGCCAGGCUGUCUCCACCCGAGACUCAGUGAAAUUGAACUCGCUGUGAAGAUGCAGUGUACCCGCGGCAAGACGGAAAGACCCCGUGAACCUUUACUAUAGCUUGACACUGAACAUUGAGCCUUGAUGUGUAGGAUAGGUGGGAGGCUUAGAAGUGUGGACGCCAGUCUGCAUGGAGCCGACCUUGAAAUACCACCCUUUAAUGUUUGAUGUUCUAACGUUGACCCGUAAUCCGGGUUGCGGACAGUGUCUGGUGGGUAGUUUGACUGGGGCGGUCUCCUCCUAAAGAGUAACGGAGGAGCACGAAGGUUGGCUAAUCCUGGUCGGACAUCAGGAGGUUAGUGCAAUGGCAUAAGCCAGCUUGACUGCGAGCGUGACGGCGCGAGCAGGUGCGAAAGCAGGUCAUAGUGAUCCGGUGGUUCUGAAUGGAAGGGCCAUCGCUCAACGGAUAAAAGGUACUCCGGGGAUAACAGGCUGAUACCGCCCAAGAGUUCAUAUCGACGGCGGUGUUUGGCACCUCGAUGUCGGCUCAUCACAUCCUGGGGCUGAAGUAGGUCCCAAGGGUAUGGCUGUUCGCCAUUUAAAGUGGUACGCGAGCUGGGUUUAGAACGUCGUGAGACAGUUCGGUCCCUAUCUGCCGUGGGCGCUGGAGAACUGAGGGGGGCUGCUCCUAGUACGAGAGGACCGGAGUGGACGCAUCACUGGUGUUCGGGUUGUCAUGCCAAUGGCACUGCCCGGUAGCUAAAUGCGGAAGAGAUAAGUGCUGAAAGCAUCUAAGCACGAAACUUGCCCCGAGAUGAGUUCU
This 2773-nucleotide ribosomal RNA is filed under the name Escherichia coli. Its description in RNAcentral is "bacterial LSU rRNA". It matches the Rfam family "Bacterial large subunit ribosomal RNA". Lineage: Bacteria; Pseudomonadati; Pseudomonadota; Gammaproteobacteria; Enterobacterales; Enterobacteriaceae. The record is from RNAcentral.